UUUUACAGAUAUGGUUCUACUAACAAUGACAUUUAAAAUUGUAAUGGUAAGAAACUUUAAAUUAAUUUUAAGAAAAGGUAUUGAAAGGACAGAGUUGUAGGUAUGAAAAUGUGCUGGAGACACUUCUUGAUAUUCCGUUGAAUAGAUACAAAAGAACUUCACUCACCUAACAAUAUUUUGAAUUAAUUUUGCUUUCCAUUCCAUCCGACAAAUAACAUUCGAUUGAAAUCAAAUCCUAAGAACGAUUGUAUCUAAUACUGUGAAUAGUUAACAAAGGUACCAGGAUUAUAAUUUAGUACGCCAGACGCGCGUUUCGUCUACAUAAGACUCAUCAGUGACGCUCAUAUCAAAAAAGUUAUAACCCAAACAUAUACAAAGUUGAAGAGCAUUGAGGAUCCAAUAUUCUAAAUAAGUUGUGUGAAAGUACUUUGAUUCGUGGGUAUUCAUUUUCGUUGUUUAAGCAACAUUAUUGGUGCAAGAAAAUUGGUACCGUUAAUUUAAUUACAUGUUGUUCGUGGGUGUUUAAAUUCGUGGAUUUUAUUUUUCUUAAAAAAACCUUGAAAAAUUGAAGCCAUUAGAAACGAAUGAUACAUAUUGUCUGGAUUCAAGCAAAUUGAAAAGUAAACAUUAACCCUUCUAAAUCGUAGUGACCACAGUAAUCAACCCGAUAUAAAGGGAUCAACAGAUGUAAGACCACCAAAGGUAUUUAUUAUGCCAUAACCAUGUAACCUUAAGUAAACAGUUACACAAUGGUAAAAAAAUUCUAAUCAAAAGCAAGCCCAGCAUGAAAUUAUUAUUUCCCAUAAGUAAAAAGUUAUGAGGAUAUGAAAUUAACACUUUAUCAUAGCAUAUCAGUUCCGGUAAUCUGACUUUCAUCAAUCAAAAAUAUUUUUUCAAGAUCGUAACGUUUAGGUUUUUAAAGAUUCCAUGCCUAAAAUCCGGUUUGCAGUUGUAGUUCAUGAUGCGUUUGCCUAGUGAUAAUUUUUUAGUAUUCUCAGUUUGGACAAUAUUUUAUAUAUACAAUCAGUAGUCAAACCUAAAUGGGGAUCUUUCCAUGUCUUGACUUGGACAAUCGUUGUUUUAUUUCGUUGGACCUUAAAUUCGUGGAUAAAGUCAUCAACAAAAACCACGAAAAUUGGUUCCCAACUAAUAAAAGUACUUUUAAAGUACUUAUGUAGACGAAAAGUGCGACUUGUAAACUGAUCAUAAGCGUCUUACCUUUGAUAAUUAUUAACAUCACUAGCACUGCUGAUUGACGUUUCGUCCCUGAGGGUAUCACCAGCCCAGUAGUCAACACUUCGGUGUUGACAUGAAUACCAAUAAUGUGGUAUUUGUAUAAAUUUACUGUUUGCAAAAGAAUAAAUUAUUCGGAAUAGUAAAUAUUUUCUUAUCCCAGACAUAGAUAACCUAAGCCGUAUUUGACACCUUUUGGAAAUUUGGACCUCAAUACACUUCAGGUGUAUAAUCGAUUGUCUUUCCUCCUUUUCCUUAUCUGAGGAGUUCUGUUAUACGCAAUCAGCAUGUUGAUAUUCAUGUAAAAUAAAAAUAAAUGUUAACAUACGAAAAUAACAUCUUAUAUAAUCGGUGGAAAACACCUUGAGUAGCAUUUCAUUUGGUGUUUGCGUAUUUUUUUAAUAUCAUACAACAUUUCAUACAUACAUUUGUAACUCAAACGUAAAAAAGGGUAAAUAACAUGUUUUUUUUCUGUAUGAAAAAAUACUUGAAGUAAGGAAAGCAUUGCGUGUGUUUGUACCACUAAAAAUGUAGGAAUAAGACUUUGAUUCUACAUAGAAUUUGUAUCAGUUAAAAACAUGUAACAGCAAUAUAACAUUAUAAGUUAUGUACAAUUUAUCGUCAUUUUCAAUUGAAUAGGAUAGUAAGUUUUCCUAUCGCAUGUCGGUGGUUUUCUGCGGACACACCGGCUUCCUCCAUCAAUAACAAAUGUCCGCUACGAAAUACCCUAAACGCGAUGCUUGAAAGUGACGUUAAUACAUCUAAUCAGAUAACUGUAAUUCUAGAAUUUUUUUAUGUUAAUUAGAUUCACUAUUGUUAAUUCAUGUAUAUAUGUAUCAUUACAGAUUUGUUUUCUUGGAAUUAUAAAUGGCUUUUUGAGGUUAGAUCGACAAUGCCCACAUUCAUCUCAAAGAAAAUUUCGUAUUUGGAGUGAAUGCAAAAGUAAUUCUACUAUAUACAACUGCUUGUACAAUACUAACAACAAAACCUAUAUUGAAUUUUGUGCAAACAAUCAGAAAACAAGAAAAGGUACGUAUUUUUUUCAAUCGCACCAUAUAUUUAGAUACAUUAUGUAAAUAUUUCAAACUGUUUAACGAUUGUUUAAAUGAUUUUAUUUUUUAAAAAAAUCAUUCGUGGCAGUAAUUUCAUUAAUUUCACCAUUUGAAUAAGUUUAUAUAUUGUAGAAUAUGUCAAUUUUUAUUAUCAGCUUUUUCCUUUUGAUUGAUAUUACUUUUACUGCUUCUAAUUUGCCGUUGAUUCACAGUUGGUGCCAAAUGUGCGUGUAUGCAGUUAGCCAAAAAAACUGACAUUUAAUGAAAUAUUGUUGUUAAAACACAUUUCCAAAUGCAUUAGAUUUUAACCGCACAAUUUAGUUCUGCAUAAGGUCUUAUUGUCUUAUUUUUUCCCUCAUUUUUCUAGUAAUACUUUAAUUAGACAUAUAUUUCGUACAAGAAAUUGUAAGAAGGUUUGAAUUAUCAGGUGAAGCACUUGGACUUGAUUAAGGCGGUUUAAUGAGGUAUUAGUUUUCUUCAGCUGUUUUUGUUGUUGCAUAUAAUGACAGAGUAGUAAAGACACAAACCGUUUAUAUACUAAUUUUGUUUGAUUGUGUAUGGUUUUUUUUUGUGACAAGUAGGAUAAAUUAAUAUUAUUAUGGGAAUAAAAAAGCUCGAAGACAAGUUUAACCGCAUCUGAUGUCACUGUUCGUAGUGUGAAACAUAAUUGGUGUUCGUCUUUUAGCAGUUUUAAAUUGUUUCUGAAAGGUAUUUUGUUAUUUUUGUACACACGGAAUUAUUUACUGUGGACUCAUUAUUAUUCGUUGGAUACCAAUUUUCGUGGAUUUCGUGGGACCAGUUGAAACACGAAAUUAAAUGUUCAACGAAUGACAAAUUUUCUUUUUGCCUGUAUGGAGACUUCGGCAAAACCACGAACUCAAAUAUCCACCAACAUGUAAGUUUUCCUUAAUCCAUGAAAAUUGGUUCCCACGAAUAUAAAUGAAUCCACAGUAUAGAGAUUGAUAUUAAUUUCUAAACAUUAGGUUUUGUCGCAUUGAAAUAUACUCUAUAAUUUCAUAUUCAUCUUCUUUUUGAUUUACUCUCCUUCUUCUACAGACUAUAUCUUUUGUGGAUUGUGGUCUUCUAGUUCUCAUUUGAUAUUCGUUUGUUUAAAAAUAGCAUAUGUUGUUGCAUGUCCCUAUGAGGGAACACUGAAAGAAACCGAAGCAAAGAAAUUAAAGUUACAUUAGCAGUGUGUCAAAAUUGUUGAUCGAUAUGUACAAAUUUUCAUCCAUAUACUUGUAAUUUUGCUGAAUCAAGCAUAUCUAUUGAAAAUGUAUUACUAGUAUUGUUAUUUUCUUUGUAGGGUUGAAAUAUGUUAUCUCUGGGACUUUUAGAAAUGUAAGGUGUUCUGAGGAGAGAUAUCAGCCUUUCACAUUUUGGUCAAAUCGAAGCGCUGAUUGUUAUUUAAGAAGUCACCAUGCAGUGAUACUGGACAAAUUGUUUUUAAAAACGGGUCAACUAUUACCGAUUCUAGAUGUCGAUGUGAUAGCACAAGGAAUUACGCCUUUGUAUCUCCACCACAAAAUCCGUGUUUCUGCACUCCAUCUGUCGAAGACUGCUCAUGUUAUAUUAAACAGUGUCCGUACAAUACCACAUUAUCUUCUG
RNAcentral lists this long non-coding RNA (3893 nucleotides) under Mytilus galloprovincialis (Mediterranean mussel). The record is from RNAcentral. Lineage: Eukaryota; Metazoa; Mollusca; Bivalvia; Mytilida; Mytilidae.